This is a long non-coding RNA of Artibeus jamaicensis (Jamaican fruit-eating bat), 1148 nucleotides long. RefSeq lists it as uncharacterized. The record is from RefSeq and is a predicted model, not a curated record. NCBI's taxonomy places the organism in Eukaryota, Metazoa, Chordata, Mammalia, Chiroptera, Phyllostomidae. The transcript has 3 exons.
AGAUAACACAACUGUGAAGCCCAUCACCUUUGCAAAUUUGAAGAUGAAGAAAGUGAGGUUCUCGCCUUUGGACAGUCUAUACCUUGAAGGUGACAAAUAUAAAAUAAAGCCAAAAGUGAUGGAUGCUUAAAUGAUGUUACAGAAACUAUUCGGAUGAUUUGGAAGUCCACAGCUAUGGGCAACUAACUGGAUUGCUGUAGCCUGUGCAUUUGUUUUCAUCUUCAGUCACAACAGGCAGACUCUGCCGGCCAGAGUGUGCAACACCUGCUCAUGCAUCACUUCUCAUAUGUGGAGUUUUUUGGUGAAACAUCAAAUCACCCAGGUGACUCAGCCCCCUUAUAGCCCAGAUUUGGUGCCCUGUGAUUUCUGGAUUUUCCCAAAACUAAAAUCACCUUUGAAAGGGAAGAGAUUUUGGAACAUCAGUGAGAUACAGGAAAAUAUGACAAGAUAGCUGAUGGCAAGUGGGAGAACUGUGUAUGGUUCCAAGGUGUCUACUUUGAAGGGGACUGAGGUAAUAUUGCCUUAAGUAUAAUGUUUUUCAUAUCUUCUUCAAUAAGUGUCUCUAUUUUUCAUAUUACAUGGCUGGAUACCUCUUGGACAGACCUCAUAUGUAGGUAAAUUAGAAGAAAUUUAAAAUUUUUGACCAGUUUCAGGUCUCAACAUUACACGAUCUCACUCUAAAGCCUCUUCAGGUCCUAUUUAUAAAUGGGAUAAAGUUCUUCCUGGCUUCAUAUUUUUCUAUUAGCAUUUCUUGUGUAUCAGAGAGUUCACAGGACAAAGUUAAGAGGCUGUUAAAUUUUAAGGAGUGUGUCUGAGGGAGGGGGCACUGUCUAUUAGAGCUACCCCAAAAGGCAAACCCAUAUCAGAAUAUGUAAUAUGUAUACCACUGGAAUAGCACAAUAGAAAAGGGAAUUUUAAAAGAUGCAGAAUUAUUCCAAAAUGAAGUUCUGAGAACUCCAUAUAGAAUGAAUAACAAACCAAAUUACAGCUAUUCAACCAUAGCCAAAUUUAUUAAACCCACAUAUUAUGAAAAAAUCUUAAACAUCUAGAGAGAAAAAAGGAAAUGUUACCUAGAGAAGACCAAAAAGCAUGAUGUCAGAACACUUUUUCCUAGAAACGAUGCCAGUUAGAAAAGGAAUAACAUUUAU